CGGCGAGUGAAGCGGCAAUAGCUCAAAUUUGAAAUCUGGCUCCUUUUAGGGGUCCGAGUUGUAAUUUGCAGAGGGUGCUUUGGCGUUGGUAGCGGUCUAAGUUCCUUGGAACAGGACAUCGCAGAGGGUGAGAAUCCCGUUUGUGGUCGCAUGCCUUCGCCGUGUAAAGCCCCUUCGACGAGUCGAGUUGUUUGGGAAUGCAGCUCUAAAUGGGAGGUAAAUUUCUUCUAAAGCUAAAUACUGGCCAGAGACCGAUAGCGCACAAGUAGAGUGAUCGAAAGAUGAAAAGCACUUUGGAAAGAGAGUCAAACAGCACGUGAAAUUGUUGAAAGGGAAGCGCUUGCAGUCAGACUUGCUCGUAGUUGCUCACCUAGGCUUUUGCCUGGGGCAUUCUUCUGCGAGCAGGCCAGCAUCAGUUUGGGCGGUCGGAUAAAGGUCUCUGUCAUGUAGCUUCCUUCGGGAAGAACUUAUAGGGGAGACGAAAUGCGACCAGCCCGGACUGAGGUCCGCGCUUCGGCUAGGAUGCUGGCGUAAUGGCUGUAAGCGGCCCGUCUUGAAACACGGACCAAGGAGUCUAACAUCUAUG
This 586-nucleotide ribosomal RNA is filed under the name Stagonospora sp. RNAcentral's name for it is "partial large subunit ribosomal RNA". It matches the Rfam family "Eukaryotic large subunit ribosomal RNA", at positions 87 to 686 of the family's 3401-position model. Lineage: Eukaryota; Fungi; Ascomycota; Dothideomycetes; Pleosporales; Massarinaceae. The record is from RNAcentral.